CUCAAACUUAACGGAGAAUUUAAAAUCGCUAUAAAAAGUCUUUGCAUCCUCUUCCAUUCUGUUUCUUUGGGUCUAUCACGGAGGACAAACCCACGCGACCACUACGGAGUAAUGACAGCAGCUUUCUGCUCUGAAAGAUUUAUUUCGGGUUUCUUUCUCUCUCUUGUGUUGCUGUACGUAAGAAACUAUCUCCCUAGCACCAUGUGUUCUCUGCCGUGGGUGAUCUUAAAAUACAACGCUGAUCUGUCACUACAUUUUAAAAUAGAUUCAACUCUCAGGGAGGAUGAGAAAGUGUUGUGAUUUCAAGAAAGUGGAGUCCUUAAGGUCCAUGAAAGAUUUCACAGUCUUGGAAACCUCACACACGGAGGAGACUCAGUUAUAUCAUCUCUUUCGAACAACUGAAACUAUCAAGUGCUAGGUGCUAAUGAACAUCAAACAAUUAAAAAGGCAGUGUAAUUUAAGAAGUUUCAAAGCCCAGCUAGCCCUUAAUCUGAAGAGCAUCUCUGCUCCACCGAAACUAUCGUGCAAAGAAUGAAAUGAAGUCGGGGCAGAAAUGCACGGCACAGAUGGGUUGCGUUCAAAUAAGUAACUUGGGCAAUAAAGCUUGUUGCUUCCUUUAAAUUAAGCUACAGGUGUAAAUAUACACAGAUGUAAAAGAUGGACCGUAUUAAAAAAGUCUCAUUGUGCAUUGUAUGUAAAUAUGGGGGAGGGUGUGCUCUGCGGAUAACAAUUGUGUAUUUAUCUCUCUGAAUGCUGAAUAAGUGAUCAUAUGAUGUUUAGAUAUGCAGUGGAAGAGAGAAAAUAUCCUUUAUUUUUAGAAUUAAUAUAAGUUUACCGCUCGUUGAAUUACUUUGGUUGCCUCUCACUGCUAAAGGCUAGCCACAGCAGCGCAGCCAGAUGUUGAAGAGGGAUGCUGGACAUCUCGUGCUGUGCCUCCUUUCUCGCUUCUAGAGUGAAGGAAUUAGAGGCACUCAGCUACGUUGGAGCACUUACCUGUUCACAGCUGUCACUGCAUUUUGUGCUGUGCCACUCAUCUAAUACAGGCAUGGAAAACAGUGUCCAACAUGCAAAGCAACCUGUGUAUCUGGGUUGUUGUGCCACCUCCUAGAGAAGAUGAGCAAACCUAAGACUUAUAGAGUUUUUAGUAUAGUCUAAAGUUUGUAUACAAAGGGCAAGCAAUUCUACAUUAGAAGUCAUUUGCCAAGCAAUAAAAGCCCUCUUAUUAAUGCAGGACAAUUAGUAGCAUGCUUAUAAAUUCACUGGUGACACACUCCGACAAGGACGACUUUUUAUAGGUUGUAAAAAAAAAAAGGAUUCAAAGAGUUCAAACUUGCGUGAGAAAGAGGUAAAGGAAAAGGAGUUAAAAACUUAUCCGACAGGGAGAAAAGUUUUGUUAAAACUGGUACCAAAAUGACUACAUGUUUCUCUAUAGGCAAACCCAUCAGAUGAUUUGAGUUCCCCAAUAACAGAGCCCUUGGUGAUAUUCUUAAAAAAAAAAAACUGAGGGGGGGAACGGAUUACAUUUUAGCAAGGACCCAAUUGAAAACAAAACUCUGAGUUUCUUAAGGCGUCAUUUACUAACUACGUAUUGUCCUUUUGGCGGAAGCAGAUCAAAGGAACAUUUUAAUUUCAUUUGAAACUGUGCAUCAUUCUGAUAGAGAAGCAAAGAAGCCGCAGGAACAACAACCCCCCAAAACCGGCAAACCACAUAAACUUUUACAAAGAAAAUACAAGCAAGUUUGACAUGAAACCCCUUCCAGUCUCGGAAAGUUCAUUUUAAAGGUCUCCUCUGUAAAUCUAAAGUGCAAACACUAGGCUAAGGUAGUGAGUGGCUGGAAUUUGCAUGCUGAUAAGAGAAGGCUGUUGUACUUACAGUGACAGAGGGCAGGCUGCGGAAGAAAAGCUGUUUGUGUGAGAGUCACCCAGGGCUGCAAUGAGAGGAGAGGAGAGGAGUGGGAGUGCCAAGCUGGAUACACCUUCACCGCAUCUCAUCACAUCUGCCAGCCUCUUUCUCCCUCUCUCUUUCAUUUCCACAUUCCCUUUGUUCCUGGAAAAAAAAAAUCUACACGUCACAUCAGAGUCCCCAGAUGCAGUCUACACCAAAGAAAAAAAUGAAUAAUUCAAUCAAACUGUGCAUAGUCUCUAAGGCAAUAAAUCUAUUGCACUUAAAGAAACGAAGGGUAAUUACCGCUAUGGAAUUAGAAUCAGGCCAAAGAACGGAGGAAUCCCAGGGUCUGUAAACUCCACGGUCAAAUAAAGUUGCAUUUACUUAAUCCUUUGACAUCUCCAAUGUAAACUAAGGGGGAGGACCUGAACUUAUUCCGGAUGGGUUUGAAAAUGCUUGGAGUGAGGGUCACAAAAGCAGAGAGAGUGAUCAGUGAGAAUACAAUGCAAUGGAGUAAAGUGCUGCCGUGGAUCCCCUCCAGGUCCAUUCCCCCCUAGUGAACAGUGGAUCACACUCCCAUUUUCACCGGCUGCUGCUGCGCUCCACAAAUGCAACAUGGAUCAUUUGCAGUGAAUGGCAGCCUUACCUGCGUCUAGAGCUCAAAUAAAAGCUUACAAAAAGUCAUUGUGAUCGGCAAUUUGUUCCAAGCUCGGGCUAAAAGGAGCUGUAAGGGAUUUGCACCAACAGCGAUUGACUAGAAACGCUGUGACUGACUUCUGGAUUUGUCCUGGGCUGAGUUUAGGGAAUGUCUGACAGGGAGGGAGGGAGGGAAAACACGCUUGAGAUCGGAUCCAAGUUAGUCAGAAGAAGGCAGUGCUGGUAAGAAAGCCCUGCGACAGACCGACCUAGGAUGGGAUGGAGGAUAACUACAUUUGUUCCCCUAACCCUCCUCUAAACUUGCCCUUUCGUCUCGGAGGUAAGAUGACUCUAUAUUGUGUUUAUUCUCUCCAUGCAAUUCAGGUCCAGAGACACGUUCCAGUGUAAACAGGACAGCAAUUUAGGGAUGUUUCUCCCUCCUGUCGUUACUGCUAACAUCUAGUUAGAGUUUAAAAUCCUGAUCUGUUGCUUGACAAGUUCUUUGUAAACUACUCCCCCGUCAAAACAGGUGAGAUUAAGAUUGAUGAACGGACCUCGCACCUCGUUCUGAACUUUCAGAAGUGCCCAGGGUCGGCAGCAUUAAAAUGCUGUCCAUUUAUACGUAAGACUUGCAGCUUUUAUACUUUAUACCGUUUUUAAUAGGCAGAUUUGAUUUAUCCAAAAUAUUAAUGGAACUGUUAUUCCAAUAAAGGUGACCACACUUGCCAGUCUCUCGGCUUGCCUGGGCUUUGUUUAUGUGCUUAAAACGCCACCCUGAGGUCAGCGCAAAUAAGGCAGCCGAGGCAAAAGCCUGCCAAGGAGCUUUCGGCUUAGCACUUUGCACAGCAAAACAAACACUGUCAGUAGCAUCGGGAAAGUCAUCGAAGAAUCUCGUUUUGGCAACCCCAUUUCUAACGGCUCUGCGAAUGAAUUUGGGAUGAGGGGAGGAUCAAGCAGGAUCUUCCCUCACUUUCAGCCACAGUGAUGGGCUCGGGAAAACACAUGCAGAGAGAUUUAUAUAAAUUGAGGAGGUGAAGUGGGGACAGAAGUACUGGAAACGCAUCCACGACUUCGCUUCCCAACCAUCUGCUCCCAAAUCCUGCUUCGCUUCUGCACCUUUUGUACUGUGGACCACACCGACGGUGGUUUGCAUGGCAGAAACCAGCGCCUGAUAGGCAGAACAUCUCUUUACCCAUCUUUACAAAGUAACCUGGGGGAUGGGGGUGGGGUUAUACAGCGCCACUCACUCAAGGAAGUUUCCCUUCACAUCCUCAGAGCACGUGCCUCAGAGCAUCUCUGACUGACUGCCCCACCAGUUUCCCCAGACUCCAGGCAAACUCAGGGCAAGUGCACUGCCCAGAUUUCCCUGGAGUGUUUUGCCUUUUAGUUUGUCUCUCGAUUUGGAGGCGGGGCUGCGUGUGGUUUAUAAUCUUUGCUGAAUGGUUUGAAUGAAAGAGGAAUUAUGGAAACACGUUGCUGUGACCUAUAAACAGCUCCUAGGGUCCAGACUUGGCUUAGGUCGAGGGCAAUAAUUACCACAUUGGGUUUGCCUAUUUUCACUGGCCAGACAUAAGAAAGUUAUCACAACAAAACAACGUCAUGGAACAGGUCUUGUUCUACCUGGAAGCUAUGGAAAUACAUUAUGGCGUCCUGUAAACUGCCAGCCCUGCUUUUACUAAGUUUACAUC
Long non-coding RNA from Gopherus evgoodei (Goodes thornscrub tortoise), 4209 nucleotides. RefSeq lists it as uncharacterized. Lineage: Eukaryota; Metazoa; Chordata; Testudines; Testudinidae. The record is from RefSeq and is a predicted model, not a curated record. The transcript has 2 exons.